This 426-nucleotide ribosomal RNA is filed under the name uncultured bacterium. Its description in RNAcentral is "bacterial SSU rRNA". It matches the Rfam family "Bacterial small subunit ribosomal RNA", at positions 355 to 774 of the family's 1533-position model. The record is from RNAcentral.
UGGGGAAUUUUGGACAAUGGGCGCAAGCCUGAUCCAGCCAUGCCGCGUGAGUGAAGAAGGCCUUCGGGUUGUAAAGCUCUUCGGAAGGGAAGAAAAGGCGGGCUCUAACAUUGCCUGUCGAUGACGGUACCGGUAGAAGAAGGACCGGCCUAAUACGUGCCAGCAACCGGGGUAAUACGUAGGGUGCGAGGGUUUAACGGAAUUACUGGGCGGAAAACCGGCGCAGGCGGUUUUGUAAGACAGAUGUGAAAUCCCCGGGCUUAACCUGGGAACUGCGUUUGUGACUGCAAGGCUGGAGUACGGCAGAGGGGGGUGGAAUUCCACGUGUAGCAGUGAAAUGCGUAGAGAUGUGGAGGAACACCGAUGGCGAAGGCAGCCCCCUGGGCCUGUACUGACGCUCAUGCACGAAAGCGUGGGGAGCAAACA